RNAcentral lists this transfer RNA (76 nucleotides) under Patescibacteria group bacterium. RNAcentral's name for it is "tRNA-Pro". It matches the Rfam family "tRNA". From Rfam's summary of the family: Transfer RNA (tRNA) molecules are approximately 80 nucleotides in length. Their secondary structure includes four short double-helical elements and three loops (D, anti-codon, and T loops). The record is from RNAcentral. RNAcentral also lists the same sequence under 1 other name.
CGGGGAUUGGCGCAGUUGGUAGCGCGCACGCAUGGGGUGCGUGAGGUCGCCGGUUCGAGCCCGGCAUCCCCGACCA